Molecule: ribosomal RNA, 460 nt
Filed under: uncultured bacterium
Lineage: Bacteria
Description: partial 16S ribosomal RNA
Rfam family: Bacterial small subunit ribosomal RNA
Source: RNAcentral
CCUACGGGGGGCAGCAGUGAGGAAUAUUGGUCAAUGGACGAGAGUCUGAACCAGCCAAGUAGCGUGAAGGAUGACUGCCCUAUGGGUUGUAAACUUCUUUUAUAUGGGAAUAAAAUGUUCCACGUGUGGGAUUUUGUAUGUACCAUAUGAAUAAGGAUCGGCUAACUCCGUGCCAGCAGCCGCGGUAAUACGGAGGAUCCGAGCGUUAUCCGGAUUUAUUGGGUUUAAAGGGAGCGUAGGUGGAUUGUUAAGUCAGUUGUGAAAGUUUGCGGCUCAACCGUAAAAUUGCAGUUGAAACUGGCAGUCUUGAGUACAGUAGAGGUUGGCGGAAUUCGUGGUGUAGCGGUGAAAUGCUUAGAUAUCACGAAGAACUCCGAUUGCGAAGGCAGUUCACUGGACUGCAACUGACACUGAGGCUCGAAAGUGUGGGUAUCAAACAGGAUUAGAUACCCGUGUAGUC